UGGGGAAUAUUGCACAAUGGGCGCAAGCCUGAUGCAGCCAUGCCGCGUGUAUGAAGAAGGCCUUCGGGUUGUAAAGUACUUUCAGUCGGGAGGAAGGUGUCAAGGUUAAUAACCUUGGCAAUUGACGUUACCGACAGAAGAAGCACCGGCUAACUCCGUGCCAGCAGCCGCGGUAAUACGGAGGGUGCAAGCGUUAAUCGGAAUUACUGGGCGUAAAGCGCACGCAGGCGGUUGAUUGAGUCAGAUGUGAAAUCCCCGGGCUUAACCCGGGAAUUGCAUCUGAUACUGGUCAGCUAGAGUCUUGUAGAGGGGGGUAGAAUUCCAUGUGUAGCGGUGAAAUGCGUAGAGAUGUGGAGGAAUACCGGUGGCGAAGGCGGCCCCCUGGACAAAGACUGACGCUCAGGUGCGAAAGCGUAGGGAGCAAACAGG
This 429-nucleotide ribosomal RNA is filed under the name Chloroflexota bacterium. RNAcentral's name for it is "Chloroflexi bacterium partial 16S ribosomal RNA". It matches the Rfam family "Bacterial small subunit ribosomal RNA", at positions 355 to 776 of the family's 1533-position model. Lineage: Bacteria; Bacillati; Chloroflexota. The record is from RNAcentral.